RNAcentral lists this ribosomal RNA (631 nucleotides) under uncultured Geobacter sp. RNAcentral's name for it is "bacterial SSU rRNA". It matches the Rfam family "Bacterial small subunit ribosomal RNA", at positions 64 to 674 of the family's 1533-position model. The record is from RNAcentral. Lineage: Bacteria; Pseudomonadati; Thermodesulfobacteriota; Desulfuromonadia; Geobacterales; Geobacteraceae.
GAACGUGAUCCAUCCUUCGGGGUGGUGAAAGUGGCGCACGGGUGAGUAACGCGUGGAUAAUCUGCCCGAGGAUUUGGGAUAACAUCCCGAAAGGGGUGCUAAUACCGAAUAAGCCCACGGGGUCUACGGAUCUUGCGGGAAAAGGGGGGGACCUUCGGGCCUCCUGUCCUUGGAUGAGUCUGCGUACCAUUAGCUAGUUGGUGGGGUAAUGGCCUACCAAGGCGACGAUGGUUAGCUGGUCUGAGAGGAUGAUCAGCCACACUGGAACUGAGACACGGUCCAGACUCCUACGGGAGGCAGCAGUGGGGAAUUUUGCGCAAUGGGGGAAACCCUGACGCAGCAACGCCGCGUGGGUGAUGUAGGCCUUCGGGUCGUAAAGCUCUGUCUGGAGGGAAGAAAUGAUUGGGAGCUAAUACCUCCUGAUCUUGACGGUACCUCUGAAGGAAGCACCGGCUAACUCCGUGCCAGCAGCCGCGGUAAUACGGAGGGUGCAAGCGUUGUUCGGAAUUAUUGGGCGUAAAGCGCGUGUAGGCGGUCUUUUAAGUCUGAUGUGAAAGCCCCGGGCUCAACCUGGGAAGUGCAUUGGAAACUGGGAGGCUUGAGUACGGGAGAGGAGAGUGGAAUUCCUAGU